RNAcentral lists this unclassified non-coding RNA (182 nucleotides) under uncultured Ascomycota. RNAcentral's name for it is "sequence contains ITS1". Lineage: Eukaryota; Fungi; Ascomycota. The record is from RNAcentral.
CAGAGUCACAGGACUCCCAAACCACUUGUGAACCUACCUUUGACCGUUGCUUCGGCGGGGGGAGGGCGGCACCCGGCUGACACCCGGCGGCCGCGCGGCCCCUCUGCGGGUGGCCCCGCCGGAGGUACCCAAACCACUGACGUCUGCAUGGCCUCUCGGAGUAACUGUACCGAAUUAAGUCA